GAGAGUAUAGCUUAAGUGGUAGAGUGCAUGCUUAGCAUGCACAAGGUCCUGGGUUCAAUCCCCAGCACCUCCA
This 73-nucleotide transfer RNA is filed under the name Camelus bactrianus (Bactrian camel). It matches the Rfam family "tRNA". From Rfam's summary of the family: Transfer RNA (tRNA) molecules are approximately 80 nucleotides in length. Their secondary structure includes four short double-helical elements and three loops (D, anti-codon, and T loops). Further hydrogen bonds mediate the characteristic L-shaped molecular structure. tRNAs have two regions of fundamental functional importance: the anti-codon, which is responsible for specific mRNA codon recognition, and the 3' end, to which the tRNAs corresponding amino acid is attached (by aminoacyl-tRNA synthetases). tRNAs cope with the degeneracy of the genetic code in two manners: having more than one tRNA (with a specific anti-codon) for a particular amino acid; and 'wobble' base-pairing, i.e. permitting non-standard base-pairing at the 3rd anti-codon position. RNAcentral also lists the same sequence under 1 other name. Lineage: Eukaryota; Metazoa; Chordata; Mammalia; Artiodactyla; Camelidae. The record is from Rfam by way of RNAcentral.